GUCUACNGCCAUACCACCCUGAACANGCCCGAUCUCGUCUGAUCUCGGAAGCUAAGCAGGGUCGGGCCUGNUUAGUACUUGGAUGGGAGACCGCCUGGGAAUACCGGGUGCUGUAGGCU
Molecule: ribosomal RNA, 119 nt
Filed under: Salvator merianae (Argentine black and white tegu)
Lineage: Eukaryota; Metazoa; Chordata; Lepidosauria; Squamata; Teiidae
Source: RNAcentral